AAAAAAAAAAAAAAAUUGCAUAUAUGUUCAAUGUAUAUGUUAUAUGAAGAUUCUUUGGUUUACUUAUGCAACUGGCACUCUUAACUAUCUCUUUACAGUAAAGUGAACUGCAUGCCUGUUAACAAAAAUGACUAUCAUGUGCCUAUUUUGCACAUUGUAUUGUUAUGUACAUCAAUAUAUCCUGAACCUAUAGUCACUUUUUAAGUCAUGUUUGAAGUAAUUAUAAUAUUGCACAUGCAAGAUUUUCUGAAGUAGGCCACUGGAUGAUUUUUAAAAUUACCUAAAUGUGAUUUAAGGAACCUUGACAGAAGAGUCUAUGAUCAGUGUUAAGGGUGUUUUGGUAAAGAGCCAGUAGAGGGAAUUCUAUAGCUGUAGAAUAUAGGGUUACCAUACACCAGAGAAAUCAUAGUUCUUCAAGAAUGAGGUCCCUUUCAGGAUGGAUGCUGAUAUAGGUCAAGAAAGGACUAUCUGGCAGGAAGUG
RNAcentral lists this unclassified non-coding RNA (481 nucleotides) under Hevea brasiliensis (rubber tree). Lineage: Eukaryota; Viridiplantae; Streptophyta; Magnoliopsida; Malpighiales; Euphorbiaceae. The record is from RNAcentral.